GAUGAACGCUAGCGGCAGGCCUAAUACAUGCAAGUCGAGGGGUAGAAGAGGCUUGCUUCUUUGAGACCGGCGCACGGGUGCGUAACGCGUAUGCAACCUACCUUCAUCUGGGGGAUAGCCCGGAGAAAUCCGGAUUAAUACCGCAUAAAAUCACAGGAUGGCAUUAUCCAAUGAUCAAACAUUUAUGGGAUGGAGAUGGGCAUGCGUGUCAUUAGCUAGUUGGCGGGGUAACGGCCCACCAAGGCGACGAUGACUAGGGGAUCUGAGAGGAUGGCCCCCCACAUUGGUACUGAGACACGGACCAGACUCCUACGGGAAGCAGCAGUAAGGAAUAUUGGUCACUGGAGGCAACGCUGAACCAGCCAUGCCGCGUGCGGGAAGACUGCCCUAUGUGUUGUAAACUGCUUUUAUUCGGGAAUAGACCUUAUUACGUGUAAUAAGCUGAAUGUACCGAAGGAAUAAGGAUCGGCUAACUCCGUGCCAGCCGCCGCCGUAA
RNAcentral lists this ribosomal RNA (496 nucleotides) under uncultured bacterium. RNAcentral's name for it is "partial 16S ribosomal RNA". It matches the Rfam family "Bacterial small subunit ribosomal RNA", at positions 28 to 523 of the family's 1533-position model. The record is from RNAcentral.